This 322-nucleotide ribosomal RNA is filed under the name uncultured bacterium. RNAcentral describes it as "bacterial SSU rRNA". It matches the Rfam family "Bacterial small subunit ribosomal RNA", at positions 32 to 331 of the family's 1533-position model. The record is from RNAcentral.
AAUCAACGCUGGCGGCGUGCCUCAGACAUGCAAGUCGAACGCGAAAUCCCGAGCAAUCGGGAGAGUAGAGUGGCGCACGGGUGAGUAACACGUAGGUAAUCUACCUUCGGAUGGGGAAUAACAACCGGAAACGGUUGCUAAUACCGCAUAAUGCAGCGGCACCUAAUGGUGACAGUUGUUAAAGCGGGGGAGUCGAAAGACCUCGCGUCUGAAGAGGAGCCUGCGGCGGAUUAGCUAGUUGGUAAGGUAAUGGCUUACCAAGGCAACGAAUCCGUAACCGGCCUGAGAGGGCGGUCGGUCACACUGACACUGACAUACGGGU